This 632-nucleotide ribosomal RNA is filed under the name uncultured Lachnospiraceae bacterium. Its description in RNAcentral is "bacterial SSU rRNA". It matches the Rfam family "Bacterial small subunit ribosomal RNA", at positions 74 to 723 of the family's 1533-position model. Lineage: Bacteria; Bacillati; Bacillota; Clostridia; Lachnospirales; Lachnospiraceae. The record is from RNAcentral.
AGAGAUUCUUGUUUAUCUUAGUGGCGGACGGGUGAGUAACGCGUGAGCAACCUGCCUUUCAGAGGGGGAUAACGUCUUGAAAAGGACGCUAAUACCGCAUGAUAUUAUGGAGUCACAUGGCUCUAUAAUCAAAGGAGCAAUCCGCUGAAAGAUGGGCUCGCGUCCGAUUAGGUAGUUGGCGGGAUAACAGCCCACCAAGCCGACGAUCGGUAGCCGGACUGAGAGGUUGAACGGCCACAUUGGGACUGAGACACGGCCCAGACUCCUACGGGAGGCAGCAGUGAGGGAUAUUGGUCAAUGGGGGAAACCCUGAACCAGCAACGCCGCGUGAGGGAUGACGGCCUUCGGGUUGUAAACCUCUGUCCUCUGUGAAGAUAAUGACGGUAGCAGAGGAGGAAGCUCCGGCUAACUACGUGCCAGCAGCCGCGGUAAUACGUAGGGAGCAAGCGUUGUCCGGAUUUACUGGGUGUAAAGGGUGCGUAGGCGGUUUGGUAAGUCAGAAGUGAAAUCCAUGGGCUUAACCCAUGAACUGCUUUUGAAACUAUCGAACUUGAGUGAAGUAGAGGUAGGCGGAAUUCCCGGUGUAGCGGUGAAAUGCGUAGAGAUCGGGAGGAACACCAGUGGCGAAGGCG